CCGUUCGCUCUUCCCGAAGUGAGCGAAUUGCAUGUAGAGAUCCGUAUGGGCUUAUAGUUUAAUUGGUUGAAACGUACCGCUCACAACAGUGAUACUGUAGGUUCGAGCCCUACUAAGCCUAC
This 122-nucleotide transfer RNA is filed under the name Helianthus annuus (common sunflower). RNAcentral's name for it is "hypothetical non coding rna". The stretch from base 48 to 121 matches the Rfam family "tRNA". Rfam says of the family: Transfer RNA (tRNA) molecules are approximately 80 nucleotides in length. Their secondary structure includes four short double-helical elements and three loops (D, anti-codon, and T loops). Lineage: Eukaryota; Viridiplantae; Streptophyta; Magnoliopsida; Asterales; Asteraceae. The record is from RNAcentral.